UGGCUCAGGACGAACGCUGGCGGCGUGCUUAACACAUGCAAGUCGAGCGGUAAGGCCCUUCGGGGUACACGAGCGGCGAACGGGUGAGUAACACGUGGGUAACCUGCCCUGUACUCUGGGAUAAGCCUUGGAAACGAGGUCUAAUACCGGAUAUGACACUGGAUCGCAUGAUCUGGUGUGGAAAGUUCCGGCGGUAUGGGAUGGACCCGCGGCCUAUCAGCUUGUUGGUGGGGUAAUGGCCUACCAAGGCGACGACGGGUAGCCGGCCUGAGAGGGUGACCGGCCACACUGGGACUGAGACACGGCCCAGACUCCUACGGGAGGCAGCAGUGGGGAAUAUUGCACAAUGGGCGAAAGCCUGAUGCAGCGACGCCGCGUGAGGGAUGACGGCCUUCGGGUUGUAAACCUCUUUCAGCAGGGACGAAGCGCAAGUGAC
Molecule: ribosomal RNA, 436 nt
Filed under: Lentzea sp.
Lineage: Bacteria; Bacillati; Actinomycetota; Actinomycetes; Pseudonocardiales; Pseudonocardiaceae
Description: bacterial SSU rRNA
Rfam family: Bacterial small subunit ribosomal RNA
Source: RNAcentral